Molecule: ribosomal RNA, 497 nt
Filed under: uncultured bacterium
Lineage: Bacteria
Description: partial 16S ribosomal RNA
Rfam family: Bacterial small subunit ribosomal RNA
Source: RNAcentral
GAUGAACGCUGGCGGCGUGCCUAAUACAUGCAAGUCGAGCGAACAGAUGAGGAGCUUGCUCCUCUGACGUUAGCGGCGGACGGGUGAGUAACACGUGGAUAACCUACCUAUAAGACUGGGAUAACUUCGGGAAACCGGAGCUAAUACCGGGUAAUAUAUUGAACCGUAUGGUUCAAUAGUGAAAGACGGUUUUGCUGUCACUUAUAGAUGGAUCCGCGCCGCAUUAGCUAGUUGGUAAGGUAACGGCUUACCAAGGCAACGAUGCGUAGCCGACCUGAGAGGGUGAUCGGCCACACUGGAACUGAGACACGGUCCAGACUCCUACGGGAGGCAGCAGUAGGGAAUCUUCCGCAAUGGGCGAAAGCCUGACGGAGCAACGCCGCGUGAGUGAUGAAGGUCUUCGGAUCGUAAAACUCUGUUAUUAGGGAAGAACAAAUGUGUAAGUAACUAUGCACGUCUUGACGGUACCUAAUCAGAAAGCCACGGCUAACUACGUG